GACGAACGCUGGCGGCGUGCUUAACACAUGCAAGUCGAACGGAAAGGCCCUGCUUUUGUGGGGUGCUCGAGUGGCGAACGGGUGAGUAACACGUGAGUAACCUGCCCUUGACUUUGGGAUAACUUCAGGAAACUGGGGCUAAUACCGGAUAGGAGCUCCUGCUGCAUGGUGGGGGUUGGAAAGUUUCGGCGGUUGGGGAUGGACUCGCGGCUUAUGAGCUUGUUGGUGGGGUAGUGGCUUACCAAGGCUAUGACGGGUAGCCGGCCUGAGAGGGUGACCGGCCACAGGGGGAGUGAGACACGGUCCGGAGGCCUACGGGAGGCAGCGGCGGGGAAUAUUGGGCAACGCGCGAGAGCCUGAUCGAGUCCUGUCGCGUGGGUGAAGAAGGCCUUCGGGUGGUAAAGCCCGUUUGUUGGGAUAGAAAAGCAGCAGGUUAAUACCCCGCUGUUAUGACGGUACCCAAAGAAUAAGCACCGGCUAACUUCGUG
Molecule: ribosomal RNA, 488 nt
Filed under: uncultured bacterium
Lineage: Bacteria
Description: partial 16S ribosomal RNA
Rfam family: Bacterial small subunit ribosomal RNA
Source: RNAcentral